AGAACAUAAGAAGAGUACUGCUGGACCAGGUCCCAGCGGUCAAUCUAGUCCAGCAUCCUGUCUCACAUAGUGGUCAACUAGUUACUCUGGAGGGCACAACAGGGUACAAAAGCUGAG
Molecule: long non-coding RNA, 117 nt
Organism: Sphaerodactylus townsendi
Lineage: Eukaryota; Metazoa; Chordata; Lepidosauria; Squamata; Sphaerodactylidae
Exons: 3
Source: RefSeq, a predicted model, not a curated record